ACCGCUCAGUAACACGUGGACAACCUACCCUUAGGUCGGGGAUAAACCCGGGAAACUGGGUAUAAUACCCGAUAGAUCUCGACUGCUGGAAUGCAUCGAGAUCGAAAGCUCCGGCGCCUAAGGAUGGGUCUGCGGCCUAUCAGGUAGUAGUGGGUGUAGCGUACCUACUAGCCUACGACGGGUACGGGUUGUGAGAGCAAGAGCCCGGAGAUGGAUUCUGAGACACGAAUCCAGGCCCUACGGGGUGCAGCAGGCGCGAAAACUUUACAAUGCUGGAAACAGCGAUAAGGGGACCUCGAGUGCCAGGUUACAAAUCUGGCUGUCGUGAUGCCUAAAAAGCAUUGCAUAGCAAGGGCCGGGCAAGACCGGUGCCAGCCGCCGCGGUAACACCGGCGGCUCGAGUGGUAACCGUUAUUAUUGGGUCUAAAGGGUCUGUAGCCGGCCGGAUAAGUCUCUUGGGAAAUCCAGCAGCUCAACUGUUGGGCUUUCAGGAGAUACUGUCUGGCUCGAGGCCGGGAGAGGUGAGAGGUACUUCAGGGGUAGGGGUGAAAUCUUGUAAUCCUUGAAGGACCACCAGUGGCGAAGGCGUCUCACCAGAACGGACCUGACGGCAAGGGACGAAAGCUAGGGGCACGAACCGGAUUAGAUACCCGGGUAGUCCUAGCCGUAAACGAUACUCGCUAGGUGUCGGCCACGGUGCGACCGUUGUCGGUGCCGUAGGGAGGCCGUGAAGCGAGCCACCUGGGAAGUACGGCCGCAAGGCUGAAACUUAAAG
This 775-nucleotide ribosomal RNA is filed under the name uncultured archaeon. RNAcentral describes it as "bacterial SSU rRNA". It matches the Rfam family "Archaeal small subunit ribosomal RNA", at positions 85 to 861 of the family's 1478-position model. The record is from RNAcentral.